AUUGAACGCUGGCGGCAUGCUUUACACAUGCCAGUCGAGCGGCAGCGCGGGGGCAACCCUGGCGGCGAGCGGCGAACGGGUGAGUAAUGCAUCGGAACGUAUCCUCGAGUGGGGGAUAACCCAGCGAAAGUUGGGCUAAUACCGCAUGAGCUCUGAGGAGGAAAGCGGGGGACCUGCGAGGGCCUCGCGCUGGAGGAGCGGCCGAUGUCCGAUUAGCUAGUUGGUGGGGUAAAGGCUUACCAAGGCGACGAUCGGUAGCUGGUCUGAGAGGAUGAUCAGCCACACUGGGACUGAGACACGGCCCAGACUCCUACGGGAGGCAGCAGUGGGGAAUGUUGGACAAUGGGGGCAACCCUGAUCCAGCCAUGCCGCGUGAGUGAAGAAGGCCUUCGGGUUGUAAAGCUCUUUCGGACGGAACGAAAUGGGCGGGACUAAUACUCCUGUCUGAUGACGGUACCGUAAGAAGAAGCACCGGCUAACUACGUG
This 486-nucleotide ribosomal RNA is filed under the name uncultured bacterium. RNAcentral describes it as "partial 16S ribosomal RNA". It matches the Rfam family "Bacterial small subunit ribosomal RNA", at positions 29 to 507 of the family's 1533-position model. The record is from RNAcentral.